This is a long non-coding RNA of Agrilus planipennis (emerald ash borer), 969 nucleotides long. RefSeq lists it as uncharacterized. Lineage: Eukaryota; Metazoa; Arthropoda; Insecta; Coleoptera; Buprestidae. The record is from RefSeq and is a predicted model, not a curated record. The transcript is spliced from 4 exons.
GUGCAAUUUUGUAAUUAGUCAUGUCAUUGUUAUCCAUUAGAAAAAUUUGACUAAACAUAUUUACUACAAAUAAGUGUGUUAUUUAACUGAGACUUAGAGGAAAAAUCUUUUAAAAUCCUUGAAAUUAUUGUGUCAUCUUAUCACCAAGAAAGAAAACUUAAUAAAGCAAGGGAAGUCUUCUAAUAUGAAGGCAGCGACAGAUGCCAAAAAUUCGUCAAAAUUAGAAUUUGUGGAUUGAUUAAUAAAUUGAUUGAAAGAUCUAAUGAACAUCCUGGAAAACAAAUUGUGAUUCAAAGUAAGAUAAAUAUGAAAAUGAAUUUGAAAAGAUCGUUGAUGAAGAGGGAAAUUAAAAAAUUUCCAUAUUGAAUUUAGAACAAUCCAAAUUUCAAAUUAAAACGCAUUAUCGACGAAACCGUUAUCAAUACAAUUGCCCAACAACAGAUCAACAGUGUCUACAAUGUUAACGACCCUUGUGGACUGUCUGCGUGCCUUGGUCCAGAUUAUAAAUUGAGACCUGACGUUUCACUGCAGUAAUCACUGAAGAUGUGAGCGGCAGUUAUCCACGAAACGUCUGCUUAUUUUUUUAUAGAUUUAUGAAGUCUGAUAAAAUCAUACCUUAAAUGCAUUCUAAUGUGAUGUAAGACGUGUUAAGCCUUUCCCAAAUCGAGUAAUACAUUUGGCAUAAUAAUCAGGCGAAGAAUUUAUCGAAUUUUCUUACGACACUAUUCAAAAAUUUUUGAGCCUAAAGAAGUUUUUCACAAGCUUCAGAAGUUCCAGUAAAUAAAAAGGCUACUGUUCAUUGAGUGUUAAUUACUUUUCGAUAACAUUAAAAAGGAUCAAAACAAUGUAUACCGAUCUCUGUUGGAACUUCUUUGGAAUAUCGUUUUAGGUCAAAAGAAUACAUCGGAUUUGCGCAUACGUUGAUACUACUCUUUGCCAAAAAGAAAGUUGUUUCCCAUAUCCCAGUAA